UGGAAGACUGUCUUGAUAGGAGACUCUCUCCAGAGAUUCUCUUGCUUCCUUGAUGAAAUAUGAGAUUGUGCAGAAAAUGUUCAUGUGGCAAGGAACUUAGGUGGCUUCUAGGGACUUCAGGAGGCCUCCAGUUGCUAAGGAGGGGGAUUGUAGCUGACAAGCAGAAAGAAGGCUAAGAUUGCAGACUCACAACCAGGAAAUGAAUUCUGCAAGCAACAUGAAUGAACUUGGAAUACCGCCUUAUGUUUCUUUGGAAUGAAAAAUUCAACCUUUCCCUGCUGUCAGUCAUGUGGUCCCAGCUCCAAGAGCCCCCUAAUUGGAAUAAACCAAUAAGAGGUUGUCUUAAAAUGGACCGGUAACCAACCAGAGCCAAUGAGAUGUGUUGACCCAAGGACUUGAAUUAAUGAAUAUGGUUCUACAUACUACUAUCCUGCCCAGUUAACUUCACAUUGUUGGUGACAGAAAGCACAGAAGACAAGAAGCAAAACCUUCAAGACUGUCAUGCCCAUGGAUAUUAAACAGACCUCUUUUCCCCCACCUUCAUUACUAUUAAUUUUUUCCCUUUAACUCACAAAUAAAUUCUGUUGACAUCUAAAGGAAAAUGUUUUUGUUCU
Molecule: long non-coding RNA, 614 nt
Filed under: Callithrix jacchus (white-tufted-ear marmoset)
Lineage: Eukaryota; Metazoa; Chordata; Mammalia; Primates; Cebidae
Description: lncRNA (ENSCJAG00000051315.2)
Source: RNAcentral